CCCGCCUGCCUGAGCCUCCCAGCCUCUCUGCCACUGAGCCACGUUCUCUAAAGCCGGCAUCCGGCUGCGCGUGCUCCUCGCAAACCCCGGAGAAGACCGGGAGACCCACCUGACACGCACGAGGAAACUGAAGCCUAAGGCUGGAAGGGACCUGCCCGAGAUGCCCCAGAAAAUUAACAGAACGCUGAACAGGGUAUAUAUGUUUCUCCAACAAAAAGCCCUGGGAGAUGUUUUAAAACUGCAGUGGCACUCUGGGUUGACGACAGUCAAGGAAGGAUUUGAAAAAGACAGCACUGUAUAAUCUGGUCCUUGAAAGAAGAUGUCUUCAGGAGGACAUUCGUCUGGAACAGACGCCAGACUCAGAUCCAGAAAACAUGCUUUUCUACCACCUCUGGGUCCCUUAUGCCAGCAUCACCCCCAGGCCCCCUGGACACUCAAGAGGCCAGGAUCUCUGAUUGCAGGGAGGAGAGAUGAGGUCUGGCUACCCAGGAUGGCCCCACACCAAGCUUCCUCCUGUGCCCCAGCAGCUCCUGUCUUGGCACACAGCUCUCGGUCCCUGCUGAGCAGAGAGAGCCAAAGUGAGGCUGUUGAUGCUGUGAAAAGGGCACGGGCUGACCACCCCCCACUUGGUUUCACCAGGAGCUAUGUGACACUGUUCUGUCUCUUCCCUUCCCCAGGCUUGAGUUGGCUGUGGUGGCCUCUGAUCGCUUCCAGCCCCCUAAAAUCUUCUCUCCUGUAGCAUCAUGCCACAUCACAAGUGAUUUAGACCCCCGCCCCCAGACCAUGAGCUCCAGGAAGUCGGGAAUCACAUCUUUUUCACUGCUGUGCCCCCACAGACUAGCUGGGACCUGACUCCUAGAAGGAACCUAAUAAAUAUGUGUUCAGUGA
This is a long non-coding RNA of Hyaena hyaena (striped hyena), 888 nucleotides long. RefSeq lists it as uncharacterized. The transcript is spliced from 3 exons. The record is from RefSeq and is a predicted model, not a curated record. NCBI's taxonomy places the organism in Eukaryota, Metazoa, Chordata, Mammalia, Carnivora, Hyaenidae.